RNAcentral lists this long non-coding RNA (564 nucleotides) under Mus musculus (house mouse). RNAcentral describes it as "RIKEN cDNA 1700017L05 gene (1700017L05Rik)". Lineage: Eukaryota; Metazoa; Chordata; Mammalia; Rodentia; Muridae. The record is from RNAcentral.
GGCAGACGCUGGAAUGAACACCAGAUGGGGAGGUCUGUGUGAAUUUUUGCCACUGUCUCCUUCCCAUCCUAGUUGUCCCAAAUGAGAGGCCCGUGGGUCUGCCAGAGGAGAGUUCUGUAUGGUACAAAGGCUUGGGGGGAAUCUGUUCCCUGUCUUUCUACAAAGAUGCUCGUCACAGCCCAUCCCUGCCAAAGGCUGUCCCUGGGACACAUAUGAUGGUUUCCAGUACUACCCUCGGGUUUGAUGAUUCCCUAGAGGGACUCUCAGGAUCUAGCAAGGCUGUUGUCUUCACAGAUAUGGUUUGUACAGCGAAAGGAUACAGAUUAAUAGGAGGAAUGAGUCAGCAUCCUGACUGGCGACCCCUAGUGGCCCACGCGUGCACUACAGCCACUUCCGCAAUCUUUGAAAUGCCUGAUGCCUGGGGAUGAAAGACGACCAGAACAACUAAUCGGAUGGUGCCAGCUACAGGGAACGAGAUGCCCUGGACCAAUGGGGCACGGGUGGAGCGUAUAAAAACACAUCCCGAUCCCGCAAUAAACGAGUCCACUUCCGCUUCUCACCUGA